Molecule: non-coding RNA, 73 nt
Organism: Pangasianodon gigas (Mekong giant catfish)
Lineage: Eukaryota; Metazoa; Chordata; Actinopteri; Siluriformes; Pangasiidae
Source: the annotation of a GenBank genome assembly
AGAGGAACCAGACUCAAAAGGGAGCCCAUCCUCAUCUGGGUGACAGUGGAUCGUGCAAUUAUAAGUAACUCCA